AUCGAACGCUGGCGGCAGGCCUAACACAUGCAAGUCGAGCGGAUGAAGGGAGCUUGCUUCUGGAUUCAGCGGCGGACGGGUGAGUAAUGCCUAGGAAUCUGCCUGGUAGUGGGGGAUAACGUCCGGAAACGGGCGCUAAUACCGCAUACGUCCUGAGGGAGAAAGUGGGGGAUCUUCGGACCUCACGCUAUCAGAUGAGCCUAGGUCGGAUUAGCUAGUUGGUGGGGUAAAGGCUUACCAAGGCGAGGAUCGGUAACUGGUCUGAGAGGAUGAUCAGUCACACUGGGAGUGAGACACGGUCCAGACGCCUACGGGAGGCAGCAGUAGGGAAUAUUGGGCAAUGGGCGAAAGCCUGAUCCAGCCAGGCCGAGUGUGUGAAGAAGGUCGUCGGAUUGUAGAGCACGUUAAGUUGGGAGGAAGGGCAGUAAGUUAAUACCUAGCUGUUUUGACGUUACCAGCAGAAUAAGCGCCGGCUAACUUCGUGC
Molecule: ribosomal RNA, 485 nt
Filed under: uncultured bacterium
Lineage: Bacteria
Description: partial 16S ribosomal RNA
Rfam family: Bacterial small subunit ribosomal RNA
Source: RNAcentral